AAUGAACGCUGGCGGCAGGCCUAACACAUGCAAGUCGAACGGAUCCUUCGGGAUUAGUGGCGGACGGGUGAGUAACGCGUGGGAACAUACCCAAAGGUACGGAAUAGCCUCGGGAAACUGGGAGUAAUACCGUAUGUGCUCGAAAGAGGAAAGAUUUAUCGCCUUUGGAUUGGCCCGCGUUGGAUUAGGUAGUUGGUGGGGUAAUGGCGUACCAAGCCGACGAUCCAUAGCUGGUUUGCGAGGAUGAUCAGCCACGCUGGGACUGGGACACGGCCCAGACUCCUACGGGAGGCAGCAGUGGGGAAUCUUAGACAAUGGAGGAAACCCUGAUCUAGCCAUGCCGCGUGAUCGAUGAAGGCCUUAGGGUUGUAAAGAUCUUUCAGGUGGGAAGAUAAUGACUGUACCACCAGAAGAAGCCCCGGCUAACUCCGUGCCAGCCGCCGCGGUAA
Molecule: ribosomal RNA, 449 nt
Filed under: uncultured bacterium
Lineage: Bacteria
Description: partial 16S ribosomal RNA
Rfam family: Bacterial small subunit ribosomal RNA
Source: RNAcentral